AUCCUGGCUCAGGAUAAACGCUGGCGGCGUGCUUAACACAUGCAAGUCGAACGGAGAUCCUCGGACGAUUGAAGGCUUGCCCGGAUAGAGUCUUGGAAUACUUAGUGGCGGACGGGUGAGUAACGCGUGGGUAACCUGCCUCACACAGGGGGAUAACAGUUGGAAACGACUGUUAAUACCGCAUAAGCGCACAGUAUCGCAUGAUACAGUGUGAAAAACUCCGGUGGUGUGAGAUGGGACCCGCGUCUGAUUAGCUAGUUGGUGAGGUAACGGCCCACCAAGGCGACGAUCAGUAGCCGGCCUGAGAGGGUGUACGGCCACAUUGGGACUGAGACACGGCCCAAACUCCUACGGGAGGCAGCAGGUGGGGAAUAUUGCACAAUGGGGGAAACCCUGAUGCAGCGACGCCCGCGUGAGUGAUGAAGUAUUUCGGUAUGUAAAGCUCUAUCAGCAGGGAAGAUAAUGACGGUACCUGACUAAGAAGCACCGGCUAAAUACGUGCCAGCAGCUGC
RNAcentral lists this ribosomal RNA (512 nucleotides) under uncultured bacterium. RNAcentral's name for it is "bacterial SSU rRNA". It matches the Rfam family "Bacterial small subunit ribosomal RNA", at positions 16 to 518 of the family's 1533-position model. The record is from RNAcentral.